This 375-nucleotide ribosomal RNA is filed under the name uncultured bacterium. Its description in RNAcentral is "bacterial SSU rRNA". It matches the Rfam family "Bacterial small subunit ribosomal RNA", at positions 524 to 898 of the family's 1533-position model. The record is from RNAcentral.
UACGUAGGUGGCAAGCGUUGUCCGGAAUUACUGGGUGUAAAGGGUGCGCAGGCGGGACUGCAAGUUGGAUGUGAAAUACCGGGGCUCAACCCCGGGGCUGCAUCCAAAACUGUAGUUCUUGAGUGAAGUAGAGGUAGGCGGAAUUCCGAGUGUAGCGGUGAAAUGCGUAGAGAUUCGGAGGAACACCAGUGGCGAAGGCGGCCUACUGGGCUUUAACUGACGCUGAGGCACGAAAGCAUGGGGAGCAAACAGGAUUAGAUACCCUGGUAGUCCAUGCCGUAAACGAUGAUUGCUAGGUGUGGGGGGACUGACCCCUUCCGUGCCGGAGUUAACACAAUAAGCAAUCCACCUGGGGAGUACGACCGCAAGGUUAAA